CUGAGUUUUGAAAAGGGUUGUAGCUGGUCUUUUAAUAAGACAUGUGCACGCUCUGCUCAUCCACUCUUAACCCUAUGUGCACCUGUGUAGAGGUUUGGUGAAUCUUGGCCGAAAGGCUGAUAGGAUCCUACUUCUAUGUCUUUUAUACAAACGCUUUAGUAAUAGAAUGUUAUCUUGUGUUUAACACAUUAUAAUA
Molecule: unclassified non-coding RNA, 196 nt
Filed under: uncultured Basidiomycota
Lineage: Eukaryota; Fungi; Basidiomycota
Description: sequence contains ITS1
Source: RNAcentral